GAGAUGUUAGUAAAGCCAUUACACUGCCUUGUCAAGGCAGAAUCACAGGUUAAACCCCUGCACAUCUUG
This 69-nucleotide transfer RNA is filed under the name Indostomus paradoxus (armoured stickleback). RNAcentral's name for it is "tRNA-Asp". It matches the Rfam family "tRNA". Rfam says of the family: Transfer RNA (tRNA) molecules are approximately 80 nucleotides in length. Their secondary structure includes four short double-helical elements and three loops (D, anti-codon, and T loops). Further hydrogen bonds mediate the characteristic L-shaped molecular structure. tRNAs have two regions of fundamental functional importance: the anti-codon, which is responsible for specific mRNA codon recognition, and the 3' end, to which the tRNAs corresponding amino acid is attached (by aminoacyl-tRNA synthetases). tRNAs cope with the degeneracy of the genetic code in two manners: having more than one tRNA (with a specific anti-codon) for a particular amino acid; and 'wobble' base-pairing, i.e. permitting non-standard base-pairing at the 3rd anti-codon position. The record is from RNAcentral. Lineage: Eukaryota; Metazoa; Chordata; Actinopteri; Synbranchiformes; Indostomidae.